AGAAUCAACGCUGGCGGCGUGCCUAACACAUGCAAGUCGCACGAGAAAGUGGAGCAAUCCAUGAGUAAAGUGGCGCACGGAUGAGUAACACGUGAAUAAUCUACCUCCGAGUGGGGAAUAACUGAGAGAAAUCUUAGCUAAUACCGCAUAAUACCCACGGGUCAAAGCAGCAAUGCGCUUGGAGAGGAGUUCGCGGCCGAUUAGUUAGUUGGCGGGUAAUGGCCCACCAAGACGAUGAUCGGUA
This 244-nucleotide ribosomal RNA is filed under the name uncultured bacterium. Its description in RNAcentral is "partial small subunit ribosomal RNA". It matches the Rfam family "Bacterial small subunit ribosomal RNA", at positions 26 to 285 of the family's 1533-position model. The record is from RNAcentral.